Mustela erminea (ermine) is the source of this 353-nucleotide long non-coding RNA. RefSeq lists it as uncharacterized. Lineage: Eukaryota; Metazoa; Chordata; Mammalia; Carnivora; Mustelidae. The transcript has 3 exons. The record is from RefSeq and is a predicted model, not a curated record.
UCGAGCCACACGGCGGGGAGAAGGCGGGACGUGCUUGGGCAACUCCACGAGGCGGGUACACGAGCCAGACUAGACUAAGCUGCAGGACUCGCUCAAACCCGCCCGAGGGAAAGUCCAACCUGAGGAAAUAAACGCCGCCGAAGGGACAGUUUUUUGAAGUUGAUAGUACUAUCAUCAGCAGUGCGUAGCAGAGGAGAUUGAGUCCCAGAGAAGUUAAACAAGUCCUUGAGUGACAUAAACCAUGACUCGAGUCUAUGCUGUCUGCACAGAGAGCAAGAGAGUACACAAAGAAUGAUGGGUGUUUGUCAAAAGGACACAGGAGCUGCAUAGAAAGUAUCCAACAAGACAAACAU